This 427-nucleotide ribosomal RNA is filed under the name uncultured bacterium. RNAcentral's name for it is "partial 16S ribosomal RNA". It matches the Rfam family "Bacterial small subunit ribosomal RNA", at positions 355 to 774 of the family's 1533-position model. The record is from RNAcentral.
UGGGGAAUAUUGCACAAUGGGCGCAAGCCUAAUGCAGCCAUGCCGCGUGUAUGAAGAAGGCCUUCGGGUUGUAAAGUACUUUCAGCGAGGAGGAAGGCGGUAAGGUUAAUAACCUUAUCGAUUGACGUUACUCGCAGAAGAAGCACCGGCUAACUCCGUGCCAGCAGCCGCGGUAAUACGGAGGGUGCAAGCGUUAAUCGGAAUUACUGGGCGUAAAGCGCACGCAGGCGGUCUGUCAAGUCGGAUGUGAAAUCCCCGGGCUCAACCUGGGAACUGCAUUCGAAACUGGCAGGCUAGAGUCUUGUAGAGGGGGGUAGAAUUCCAGGUGUAGCGGUGAAAUGCGUAGAGAUCUGGAGGAAUACCGGUGGCGAAGGCGGCCCCCUGGACAAAGACUGACGCUCAGGUGCGAAAGCGUGGGGAGCAAACA